RNAcentral lists this ribosomal RNA (433 nucleotides) under uncultured bacterium. RNAcentral describes it as "partial 16S ribosomal RNA". It matches the Rfam family "Bacterial small subunit ribosomal RNA", at positions 29 to 507 of the family's 1533-position model. The record is from RNAcentral.
AGCGAACGCUGGCGGCAGGCCUAACACAUGCAAGUCGAACGAACUCUUCGGAGUUAGUGGCGGACGGGUGAGUAACACGUGGGAACGUGCCUUUAGGUUCGGAAUAACUCAGGGAAACUUGUGCUAAUACCGAAUGUGCCCUUCGGGGGAAAGAUUUAUCGCCUUUAGAGCGGCCCGCGUCUGAUUAGCUAGUUGGUGAGGUAAAGGCUCACCAAGGCGACGAUCAGUAGCUGGUCUGAGAGGAUGAUCAGCCACAUUGGGACUGAGACACGGCCCAAACUCCUACGGGAGGCAGCAGUGGGGAAUAUUGCGCAAGGGGCGAAAGCCUGACGCAGCCAUGCCGCGUGAAUGAUGAAGGUCUUAGGAUUGUAAAAUUCUUUCACCGGGGACGAUAAUGACGGUACCCGGAGAAGAAGCCCCGGCUAACUUCGUG